CCUUCGAUAGCUCAGUUGGUAGAGCGGAGGACUGUAGUGACACUUAUCCCUAGCUAUCCUUAGGUCGCUGGUUCGACUCCGGCUCGAAGGA
RNAcentral lists this transfer RNA (91 nucleotides) under Sarcophilus harrisii (Tasmanian devil). It matches the Rfam family "tRNA". Rfam says of the family: Transfer RNA (tRNA) molecules are approximately 80 nucleotides in length. Lineage: Eukaryota; Metazoa; Chordata; Mammalia; Dasyuromorphia; Dasyuridae. The record is from Rfam by way of RNAcentral.